UACAGAGGUCUCAAGCGUUGUUCGGAUUCAUUGGGCGUAAAGGGUGCGUAGGUGGGCAGGUAAGUCAGUGGUGAAAUCUCCGGGCUUAACUCGGAAACUGCCAUUGAUACUAUCUUUCUUGAAUACCGUGGAGGUCAGCGGAAUAUGUCACGUAGCGGUGAAAUGCUUAGAUAUGACAUAGAACACCAAUUGCGAAGGCAGCUGGCUACACGAAUAUUGACACUGAUGCACGAAAGCGUGGGGAUCAAACAGG
This 253-nucleotide ribosomal RNA is filed under the name uncultured bacterium. RNAcentral describes it as "partial 16S ribosomal RNA". It matches the Rfam family "Bacterial small subunit ribosomal RNA", at positions 524 to 776 of the family's 1533-position model. The record is from RNAcentral.